Molecule: ribosomal RNA, 496 nt
Filed under: uncultured bacterium
Lineage: Bacteria
Description: partial 16S ribosomal RNA
Rfam family: Bacterial small subunit ribosomal RNA
Source: RNAcentral
GAUGAACGCUGGCGGCGUGCCUAAUACAUGCAAGUCGAGCGAACAGAUGAGGAGCUUGCUCCUCGGACGUUAGCGGCGGACGGGGGAGUAACAAGUGGAUAACAUACCUAUAAGACUGGGAUAACAUCGGGAAGCCGGAGCUAAUAACGGGUAAUAUAUUGAACCGCAUGGUUGAAUAGUGAGAGACGGUUUUGCUGUCACUUAGAGAUGGAUCCGCGCCGCAUUAGCUAGUUGGUAUGGUAACGGCCUACCAAGGCAGCGAUGCGUAGCCGACCUGAGAGGGGGUUCGCCCACACUGGAGGUGUGAGACGGUCCAGACUCCUCCGCGGGGCACCGGUGGGGAGUCUUCCGCACUGGGCGAAAGCCUGACGGGCAACCGCCGCGUGAGUGAGGAGGGGCUCUGGGUCUUAAAACCCUGUUAUUCGAGAAAAGCAAAUGUGUAAGUAACGAUGCUGGGUUGGCCGUUACCGAAUCAGAAGGCCCCGCCUACUUCGUU